UGUUACCAAGUUUCCUUGGUUUGUCCGCCCAAAGCGUUGUCUUGAAGCAUUCUCAUAUUUCUAUUGGCAGAAUACUCCCAAACUGCUUCGAUUGACCUUUACUCGCCAUAUCUUUGAUUUGAGGCUGGGAAAAUUGUAAACAAGGUAAGAUUGAACUUCCUCGCAGCUUGAGCUUUAAAUUAAACGAUUUAUAAUUUUUGUUUCUGUCAUGUUUCAACAAAAACUCAUCCUUUCUAAGUUUGAGGAAUUCUAGAAUUCUAGUUGGUUUUGGUUUGAUUAUAAAGGAAAGAAUUUAAUUAUUUAGAUAUUGGAAUUGUGAUUUGAAAGAUAGGAAUUAUUAGCUAGAACAUGAAACUAGACUUCAAGAUUAGGGUUCGUUUGAUAACCAGAAUGAUAAAUUGCUGGAGAAAUUUUUUUUUUGUAAAAUAAUUUACUUUUAUUGAAUAAAUUGUCAAAAAUUAGGUUAAAUAUUCCGAAUUAUAUUAAGAAAGUUAAUUUAGUCUAUAUCUUUUAAUUACAUUUAAAUAAAUUUUUAAAUUUUUAUUUUGCAUCAAAUAAGUCAUUUUCAUUAAUCAUUAAUUAACUUAUGAUAGUCAACGGUAUAAUCAGUAAUUUUUUAUGUCACAUCAUUUUUCAUGUGAUAUGUUAAUAUGUUAUCUUGAUUACGUUAAUGUCACGUGAUAUAAAAAAUUACUGAUUAAAAAAUAUAUUUUUAUUUUUUUACCCAUUCAAAUGUUCAAAAAUUACUAAUUAAAAAUUUAAAACAAAAAAUUAAAAAAAAAUUAAUUAUUUCAAACUGAUUACUAUAAUUUCUUAAUUGAUUACUAUCUUCUUCUUUUUUAAAAAAAAAUUUUCAUCUUCUUAAUUGAAGUCAUUAUUUCUAAAAACAAAAACCUAAAUCUAAUUGCAUAAGUCAAUUAUGUACUCAAAUAGCCUAAACAAAUCAAUAUCCACAAACAAAUCUUCACUUUCUUGAACAUUCACUAAAUCUAACGUACUCAAAAUAUCUUCUCAUUGUUUGCAAUUCUUUUUCUUCUUUUAAAAAUCGUUCUUUGAGUAGUCUUUAAUUUUUAAAAAUUGUGAAAGAUGUGGAGAGAGAUUUUACUAUUAUUAGUGGUAAAUAAAUUUAACACCAUCAGAUUUCUCUUAUAAAUAUUAAGAAAGAGAAGAGAAAGAUUUGACUUUUUUUUUUAUUGUGGAACAACGCGAUAUGUCUUUGCUAGUUUUAAUAUUAUAAACGUUGUAUGUCUUACUUUUACUCUUCCUCUUUUAAAAAUCGUUUCUGGGUAUUCUUAUAUUUCUCUACAUCAAUUUUUAAUUGAAUUGGAAAAGUUAGAUUAAGUAUUUUUUUUAUUAAGAAAGAUGGCUUCAAUUAAGAAGCAUGGUAAUUAAUUUGCAGCAAUUAGUUUUUUUUUUUUUAAUUUUUUGUUUCAAAUCUCUAAUCAAUAAUUUUUGAACAUUUGGAUGGAUAAAAAAGAAAAAACAUAUUAUUAGUCAACAUUUUUUUAUGUCACAUAAUCUAUCACGUGGCAUUAACGUUAUUAAGAUGACACGUCAACAAACUAUGUAGAAGAUGAUAUGAUAUAAAAAAUUGUUAAGAGACUUUUUUGAUCUAAAAUAAAAGUUCAAAAGUUUAUUUGAAUGUAAUAAAAAGAUAUGGGCAAAAUUGAUUUUCUUAUUAUAGUUUGGGGGCUUUUUUGGGUAUUUAGUCAAUUGAUAAAUAGGAAUAGAUUACAAAACAAAUGUGACAUUUGAUUUUCAAGUUAAAAUUAAGAAUGAAAAUGAAAAUGAGAAAAAUUAAAAAUAAUAUUUUUCAAAGCAUUUAACCACAUAUAAUAAUGAAAGUAAGCUCUAAUUUUCAAAAAAAAAUUCAUCUCAUCAGUUUUUUUACCAUAACACUAUAAAAAUAUCAAUAUUCAUCAAUUAUGUAAAACAUCCAAAGCCUAUAUUCAUAAGUGUGUAUUCAUUAAAUGAUAAUCAUUGAAAUAUUUUUUGUUAUAAUUAUUUGUAAAAUAUAUUCAAUUUUUAAAUAAAAAAUAUUAAUUGCAUUGAAUGAUUUCAUUAAUUUUUUUUUAAUUUUAAUAGUAUUGAAUAAUUUAAAUAGUAAUAUUUUAAGUUAAAAUUUUUUGAAGUUAAAUAUUAAUAUUUUUUAUUUUUUCAUAUUUUAAGUUAAAUAUUAAUAUUCAUCAAACUUGUUAUGCAAAACUUAGUAUAAGAGUAGUUUUUCUGUUCUUCAAAAAAUAUCUUAUACCUCUCAAGAGUGUAAGACAUUUUACAUGGUUAAUAAGUAUUUUUCCUUAUUGACCCAUAAACGUUUUAUAUUUGGAACAAAUUUUUCAUCUUCCAAACAAAUAUAAGUUUUGAAAACAUUUUCAGAAAAAAAUUUUAUGUCAAAUCAAACAAACUCUUAGUUAGUUAAUUCUGGAAACUUAAAUGCAAAGGAAUUAAGGAAAGUGUGUAUAUUUAUAAGUGCUCAUGGGACGCUAGGAAGCUCAAUGAAUUAUUGGAGGAUUGAUAGUUGGAGGAAAAAUCACAAUGUCACUAGGAGGGGAUGUGCAUUUAAAUGUUUUAGAAAAUGCGCGAAAAGUUUUAAGUGUGCUCUGCUCAAAUGUUUUUGAAAUGUGCAUGGGAACAAGCUUUGUGUAUUGCUACACUGUGAUGCUAUGUGAACAAUUGAAUCACUAUAUACAUAUUGAUAUGAACUGUUAUUAUUGUACAUUGGAAGGCAUGGUAGUUGAGUUACGUGUCAUAUGGAUAUAUAGAUAUUAAUUGUUAUCAUUAUGAACUGUGGGGCAUGGUAGUUGAGCUUCGUGUCAUGUAAAUAUAUAGAUAUAAAUUGUUAUUGCCAUGUGGUUGCCAUGUGGUUUUGUGUGUGUAUGUGAAUUGCGAUCCUUCUUUAGUCAUUGUUAUAAUGGUGAUUGAUAACUGUUAACGUAUGUUGAGAUAUGGAUUGCGUGCCUUAGAUGGGCUGUUGAAUAGCAUGAUGAAAUAUGUGUCAUGCCUAGUAAAGUAAUAAAGAAUUACUGAUUUUUAUAUUGGCAUUGUUAUGAACAUGUAAUAUGGGCUUCAGAUUAAUGAUAUGCUGUUUAUUGUGGACAUUUAUGCAUAAUGCAUAGCAUAGUCGUAGUAGGGCAAAAAUACCAUUGGUAUGUGAGGCGAAGUACUCUAUUGAGCAUUUCCGAGUGGGGUAGAAAUACUAUUGAUUGUGCACUGCCAAGUAGGGCAGAAAUACUACUUUUUGAGCACCACCAGGUGGGGUAGAAAUGCCACUGAUCCUGCAGAUGUUUAAUGGGGGAAAAAUACCACUAUUGAGCACCGCCAAAUGGGGUGGAAAUAUCACUGAUCAUGCAAUGCCGAGUGGGGCAGAAUACCACUGUUGAGCAUCACCGAAUGGGGCAAAAGUACCAUUAAUUGUGCAUGCAUAUUUACAUUUGUUAAAUUGUGAAUAAUGAGAAAACAUGCAAGGCAUUGAUGGUAGGAAUUAAUAUGUUAUGUUUUUUUGUGGGAAUUGUACACUUUAAACCAAAAAAAUAUGGAUGUAAGAGCAUGGUCCUAGGCUGAAGGUGCCUAGUUUGGGUAUAAGGGAGGCUCUCAUGAGUUGGGAUGCUUGGCAUUGCAAAUUGGGUAAAGUAUGGAGACCUACUUUAAGAGUCUCUAUACUUUUGUUAUGUUUUGCUGGAAAUUGCUUGUUUCUUAUUUGUAUUCCCUAUAAGGGGCACGUGGUAAGUUGUUGGAAUUGGUGGUAAGGUUUUACGUGAAAUCGUGAUAAAUGUACUAAAGGUUUUAUCUAGGCAAAGCUCAUGUGCAUUACGGGUUUUUAUUAGGCAAACAUGCAUGAUUUCUGAAAUGAAUGUGCAUCGUUUAUAAACUAUUUCUCCCUAUUUAAUGCUUGUUCCUUUUGUUAUCCUUCACUGAGCUAUAGUACUCGUUAUUUUAACUUGCAUGUUUUUAGAACGAGACCUAGACGGGUCAUAGAUUCUCGAGAGGAUCCUCAAGUGCACUUUUGGUAGUUCGAGACAUUUGGCAUUCGGUAGUACUUCCACACCUAAUAGUCACUUUGUUGGUAGUUGGAUGUUGGGCUAUCUUGUUGAUUGGUCAUUGGACUUUGUAGGCUAUAUAUGUACAUAUGUAUGUGGGUUUUUUAGACAUGUAUGUAAGCCUAGUAUAAGAUAACACGGCUAUGAGCUGGCAAACGUAAUGUAGCUUUUGUUUAUGCCAAGAAUGAGUGUACAACAGAUGUUAUAGCAAAUGGUUGUGCCUAAUGUAAAUAUCUUGUGUUUAAAUCCAAAAGAUGGAUGUGAAAUGUUUUUCUAAGAUUGAUUGAUUGCCUUUUUACGGGUAAUCUGUAACUUUAUAUUAAAACUCUCUCCUAAGGACUUCAAUUGGGUGCCAUCUGAAUUUGUCAAUUGCACGACACGUGACGUACAACUGGAGUGGCUGUAUUUAUUUUCAUUUCACGUGGAUCUUCAUCAGGUAAAUCUUGGCCUGCCCGAGCAAUUGGUCCAAUCCAUGGGCUGCUUUCGAGCAAAAUUUGUUGGCUAGCGAGGCCUACUGUUUGGCUCAAUACUGAUGAUUCUCAAUUGCUUUCCAUGUCAGAGAUUUUUCCAUGAUUUGGUCGGUGUUUUUACCAUGUUCAAGGUCUAUUCUGCCUUUUGAUUGUAAAUAUGCUUUUAUUUGGAGGGUAUUUUAAACCAUUUGUUUAGUUCAAUUAUUUUUAUGGUCUUUUCAACUCAACUCAUAAUUUAUAGAGUUCUAUAUCAUUUUUUUGUUUUCCGUUUCUUUUCCAUAUUAUUUGUUUAACUUCCUCAUCCGUUGUUUCAUUCCAUUUUGGUCUUUUUCUUUCUCUUCUUUACUUUGGUUCAUUUUUUUUUCACCUCUUUUGACUCUUUUUUCCUUUUGUUCCUCUUAGUUUCAUUUCGGUUUUUUUUUUUUCCAUUCCUUUGCAUGUUCUGCUUCUACAUCUUUUUUUUUUUUAAUAGUUGUUUAGUUCAACAUUUGGCCAUUUGUGGUUUUUUAUUCUUUCUUUUAUUUCUUCUUUGAUUUUUAGCUAUUUCCAUUAUGAAAUGCUGAAUGAUUUUUAAAAAAUUUUGAUCCUCGGUUUUUGUAAAAUUUUUUUAAAAUUAAUUUUAAAAUUUAUGUAACAAAUAAUUUUGCUAUAUUUUUUUAAUCAUUCGAUGAAUGGAGUUUUUCGUAGGUGUUUAAUAUUUUGGAUGGUUAUGUUUAAUUAAGAAUUAUAGAUUCCAAGUUUAUGCAACUUCUCUUUAAGUAUGAAAAUGGUAUUAUUUUUCUCUUAAAAUUUGACAUGAUUCCUAAAGUCUUAUCUUAAUUCUGAUAUUGGAAUUGAAUAAUAUGUGGAUUUAUGAGUUAUGGUUGAUGGAUAAUAAAAUCUUUUCUGGUUAUGUGCGCUUAUAUUAUCAUUUUCAUUUGAGAAUUAAUUGAUAAUUAUGAUCCUUGUGGUUCUAUGGACUUCGGUAUUUUAUGUUUUAUUAUAAUUCUUGAUUCUUCAUCAUAGUAUUAAGUUUGUUUAGAAGGUAGAGCUUCCAUAAAUUCUUGGUUUAGGUAUUCACCUUGAUGCUCCCGGCUUUCAACUGAAUUUGCUAAAGAAAAAAUGAUUUUAAUUUGCAUUAAAUUAAAUAUUUCUCAUAACUCCCCUGGAAGGUCUUUCUCAGGGCUUGAAUACCUUAGGAACAAUUAAAGUUAUGGCUACCUUUACCAACAUGGCUGAAAAACUAAUUUAUUUGUUAUGUUAACCAUUUGUUACCUGCCGGUGAGCAUAGCACAGGCCAUACUCUAGUGCUAUAUAAAAUGUGGUUGAAGCUUAUGUGGGCUGGGCGAGCUACUCCCGUCGGAUUCUCGUGCCGGUCAUGGCCCAGGGCGGGGUCGUGACAUAUGCAAACCAAACUUAAGGCGAAAAGGUGCAG
RNAcentral lists this long non-coding RNA (5921 nucleotides) under Theobroma cacao (cacao). RNAcentral's name for it is "long non-coding RNA (TCAC_LNC004755)". Lineage: Eukaryota; Viridiplantae; Streptophyta; Magnoliopsida; Malvales; Malvaceae. The record is from RNAcentral.